AACGUUGUAGCUCAAUGGAAGAGCGACCCUUUUUUAUUUAGGGGAGGCCAUGAGUUCAAUUCUCAUCAACGGUACAA
RNAcentral lists this transfer RNA (77 nucleotides) under Chitinophaga terrae (ex Kim and Jung 2007). RNAcentral's name for it is "Chitinophaga terrae Kim and Jung 2007 tRNA_Lys_TTT". It matches the Rfam family "tRNA". Rfam says of the family: Transfer RNA (tRNA) molecules are approximately 80 nucleotides in length. Their secondary structure includes four short double-helical elements and three loops (D, anti-codon, and T loops). Further hydrogen bonds mediate the characteristic L-shaped molecular structure. tRNAs have two regions of fundamental functional importance: the anti-codon, which is responsible for specific mRNA codon recognition, and the 3' end, to which the tRNAs corresponding amino acid is attached (by aminoacyl-tRNA synthetases). tRNAs cope with the degeneracy of the genetic code in two manners: having more than one tRNA (with a specific anti-codon) for a particular amino acid; and 'wobble' base-pairing, i.e. permitting non-standard base-pairing at the 3rd anti-codon position. The record is from RNAcentral. Lineage: Bacteria; Pseudomonadati; Bacteroidota; Chitinophagia; Chitinophagales; Chitinophagaceae.